Molecule: ribosomal RNA, 496 nt
Filed under: uncultured bacterium
Lineage: Bacteria
Description: partial 16S ribosomal RNA
Rfam family: Bacterial small subunit ribosomal RNA
Source: RNAcentral
AUGAACGCUGGCGGCGUGCCUAAUACAUGCAAGUCGAGCGAACGGACGAGAAGCUUGCUUCUCUGAUGUUAGCGGCGGACGGGUGAGUAACACGUGGAUAACCUACCUAUAAGACUGGGAUAACUUCGGGAAACCGGAGCUAAUACCGGAUAAUAUUUUGAACCGCAUGGUUCAAAAGUGAAAGACGGUCUUGCUGUCACUUAUAGAUGGAUCCGCGCUGCAUUAGCUAGUUGGUAAGGUAACGGCUUACCAAGGCAACGAUGCAUAGCCGACCUGAGAGAGUGAUCGGCCACACUGGAACUGAGACACGGUCCAGACUCCUACGGGAGGCAGCAGUAGGGAAUCUUCCGCAAUGGGCGAAAGCCUGACGGAGCAACGCCGCGUGAGUGAUGAAGGUCUUCGGAUCGUAAAACUCUGUUAUUAGGGAAGAACAUAUGUGUAAGUAACUGUGCACAUCUUGACGGUACCUAAUCAGAAAGCCACGGCUAACUACGUG